Molecule: transfer RNA, 72 nt
Filed under: Marmota monax (woodchuck)
Lineage: Eukaryota; Metazoa; Chordata; Mammalia; Rodentia; Sciuridae
Rfam family: tRNA
About the family: Transfer RNA (tRNA) molecules are approximately 80 nucleotides in length.
Source: Rfam by way of RNAcentral
UGGGGUGUGGAUCAGUGGAAGAGCACUUGCCUAGCAUGUGUGAGGCACUGGGUUCAAUUCUCAGCACCGCAU